This 497-nucleotide ribosomal RNA is filed under the name uncultured bacterium. RNAcentral describes it as "partial 16S ribosomal RNA". It matches the Rfam family "Bacterial small subunit ribosomal RNA", at positions 28 to 507 of the family's 1533-position model. The record is from RNAcentral.
GAUGAACGCUGGCGGCGUGCCUAAUACAUGCAAGUCGAGCGAACGGACGAGAAGCUUGCUUCUCUGAUGUUAGCGGCGGACGGGUGAGUAACACGUGGAUAACCUACCUAUAAGACUGGGAUAACUUCGGGAAACCGGAGCUAAUACCGGACGAUAUUUUGAACCGCAUGGUUCAAAGGUGAAAGACGGUCUUGCUGUCACUUAUAGAUGGAUCCGCGCUGCAUUAGCUAGUUGGUAAGGUAACGGCUUACCAAGGCAACGAUGCAUAGCCGACCUGAGAGGGGGAUCGGCCGCACUGGAGGUGAGACACGGUCCAGACUCCUACGGGAGGCAGCAGUAGGGAAUCUUCCGCAAUGGGCGAAAACCUGACGGAGCAACGCCGCGUGAGUGAUGAAGGUCUUCGGAUCGUAAAACUCUGUUAUUAGGGAAGAACAUAUGUGUAAGUAACUGUGCACAUCUUGACGGUACCUAAUCAGAAAGCCACGGCUAACUACGUG